This 253-nucleotide ribosomal RNA is filed under the name uncultured bacterium. RNAcentral's name for it is "partial 16S ribosomal RNA". It matches the Rfam family "Bacterial small subunit ribosomal RNA", at positions 524 to 776 of the family's 1533-position model. The record is from RNAcentral.
UACGUAGGGGGCUAGCGUUGUCCGGAAUCAUUGGGCGUAAAGCGCGCGUAGGCGGCCCGGUAAGUCCGCUGUGAAAGUCAAAGGCUCAACCUUUGAAUGUCAGCGGAUACUGCCGGGCUAGAGUCCGGAAGAGGCGAGUGGAAUUCCUGGUGUAGCGGUGGAAUGCGCAGAUAUCAGGAGGAACACCAACGGCGAAGGCAGCUCGCUGGGACGGUACUGACGCUGAGACGCGAAAGCGUGGGGAGCGAACAGG